Humulus lupulus (European hop) is the source of this 2366-nucleotide RNA transcript. RefSeq lists it as uncharacterized. The record is from RefSeq and is a predicted model, not a curated record. The transcript is spliced from 13 exons. NCBI's taxonomy places the organism in Eukaryota, Viridiplantae, Streptophyta, Magnoliopsida, Rosales, Cannabaceae.
AAGGAAUAGGGCAUUCAAUUCAUUCAAGAAAAAGGAAAAUCUCGGAAAGUCUCUCGAAGGGUUUUGGCACUGUCCCCACUGCCAUUGCCAUUAGCCAUUCAAUCCAUGGCAACCACUUUCUCUGAGAAAUCAGAAGACGAUCUUCGCAAGGAGAUCGAUGAGCUUCAGCGCCAGCAACGCGAGAUUACUGACCGCCUUCGGGAUCCUCGGGGGCUUCGCCGGGGACGCUUGCCCGGCGCUGGUCCUCGUAACUUUGCCGCCAAUGGUGCUCGUCAGCGAGGUUUCACUCGGCCUACUGAUAGGACUGAGCUAGAAGAUGAACCACCUGCAAAGAGACGACUUUCAUCAGCCGUUGUCAAGGUGGAAGAUGGAGAGAUCACUGAGGAUGCCAAAGCAAAUGAGGAUGUGAAUGAAGAUGAUUCGGUCAAGGAAGUAACUGAUGGGAAUUUGCUGCAGAGUGGUUGGUCCAGUAGAGAUGGCAAUCAAAGACCAAUGAGGAAGGAUUUUGAUAUCCCGAGCAAUGAGCAUGUCCCAAGGGUAUUGCCUAAGAAUGAGGAUCCAAGCUUGGUUAGUAGGAAUAAAAGAAUGCUGGGGCAGCUUCUGGGAACUCUGGAGAAAUUCAGGAAAGAAGACAAGCAGCUUUCAGGAACUGAGGCAUUUAUGCGGAGAUCAACUUCCUUACAAAGAGCUGAGCAAAGAGCACGUGAAGAAAGUGAAAGACUUAGACAGCAAGAGCGUGAAAGGAUUGCUGAAAAGCGGAGGAGAGAUCUGACUCUGCGGGCACGUGUUUCUGCCAAGACAGAAGAGAAGAAGUUGGAAUUACUGUAUCUUCGGUGGAGUGAGCACCAUAAAAAACUUUGCAAUUUUAUAAGGACUAAGACAGAGCCUCCAAUUUAUUAUUUGCCGAAGAAGCCACUAGAUGCAAAUGAAAUUGAGGCUGAGCAGCGAAAAGAACAGGCAUUUGAAGAAUGGAAGGCUUCUAGGAGGGAGGAACUGACGGAAUAUCAGAAAGAGAUUGGGGAGCAAUAUCUUGCCAAUGUUGAAAAAGACUUGGAAAGGUGGCAAAAUGCAAGGAAUAGGAAAGCAAAUGAUGUACUGAACUUGCAGGAAACAAUGGACAAAGAAUUGGACACCCAUAGACUUGAGCAUGGUCCCAAGAAAAGAACGAUUCCAAGCGAAAGCAACAAUGAAGAGGAAGAUGAUGUGGAGGACAUCAAUGGGGAGGAUGACAUGAUGGAUGAUGUACUGGAUGUUGACGACAACACUCGAAGGGGUGAAGAAACAACUAGGACAGAUGCUGCCGAUAAUGCUAGUCCAGAGGCAGAUAAAAUUGAGUAGUGACGGUUAUUGCCAUCUUCUCAACACCCUUCUUUUUGUUCUGGUUUCAUUCUGGCUGAUUAUUGUAUCAAUUUAAACCCUCGUGCUCAUACUAUCUGGUAUCAGUGCUAUGUUUGAGAUCUGAAAAUAAUCGAAUCUGGAAUUUACUGGGAUACCGUGCUUUGGAAGUUGAUAUUAAAUGUUGGAUCUUUGGUAUUAGAGCUAUAUAACCGGUGGUCGGUGGUCUUCAGCCCCGAGUCCGUACAUGAGGCGGCAUAAGCAUUCAUAGAGUUUGUAGCAUUUGAAGCUUUGAUGGCAUCUAAGCACUCAACUUCAAGCUCAAGGUGACGAGAAAGAUCAUCAAAGGUUUUGAUGUUAUCACUGUGAGUCGUGCUCACCGCUAUAGUCUCCUAUGAAUUUAGUAAUGAUCAAAUAAAUGUCGUGAGUUGUUGUUCAUUAAUCAAGUUUUUACCAAUAAUUUUAACUUGUGAAUCAUAGUUGACAUAGCCCUAAGAGGUUGCUUAUUUGUGUGAUUUGAGCAUAUCUUAUAAAAGUCAAAUUUUAUAUUUAGUGCAUGUAACCUCUUAAUAGUGGCCUAUCCAUAUUUUAUCUUAAAGGAAUCUCACAUCUCAAAAGUAGUGGCUUGUUGCUUAAAUUCAUUAAUUAAGUUCUUGUGCGUGAUACUUAACAUAGCAAAGCGCACAAAUGAUCUUUCUUAAGCCAAUUCUAAUAGGCGUCGAUGUUGAGUAGUGUUUCAAUCACGGGUGCAGUUAUCUCUUUGGAUGAGGUUACCAUAACAUCUUAUUCUUUGAGAACAUAUCAAGGCACACAACACAACACAUUAAUAUUUAGAGCUUGAUAGAUUAUGUGUUAUGUUAUGCAAAAUGAGUUUAUGUGUUCUCAACGUGCAAGAGGCAAUGGAAACCUUGACCCAAGAAAUAAUUGCACUGGCAUCUAGGAACAUUUCUCAAUAUUGGCAUGAUUAAGAGCCCAUCAAAAUCAGCUUGGGAAAGAUCUUGUGUGCGACUGCAAUUUACUAUGCUAAGCAA